This 650-nucleotide ribosomal RNA is filed under the name uncultured bacterium. RNAcentral's name for it is "bacterial SSU rRNA". It matches the Rfam family "Bacterial small subunit ribosomal RNA", at positions 670 to 1321 of the family's 1533-position model. The record is from RNAcentral.
CACGUGUAGCAGUGAAAUGCGUAGAGAUGUGGAGGAAUACCGAUGGCGAAGGCAGCCCCCUGGGAUAAUACUGACGUUCAUGCUCGAAAGCGUGGGUAGCAAACAGGAUUAGAUACCCUGGUAGUCCACGCCCUAAACGAUGUCAAUUAGCUGUUGGGGCACUUGAUGCCUUAGUAGCGAAGCUAACGCGUGAAAUUGACCGCCUGGGGAGUACGGUCGCAAGAUUAAAACUCAAAGGAAUUGACGGGGACCCGCACAAGCGGUGGAUGAUGUGGAUUAAUUCGAUGCAACGCGAAGAACCUUACCUGGUCUUGACAUGUACGGAAUCUUCCAGAGACGGAAGAGUGCCUUCGGGAGCCGUAACACAGGUGCUGCAUGGCUGUCGUCAGCUCGUGUCGUGAGAUGUUGGGUUAAGUCCCGCAACGAGCGCAACCCUUGUCAUUAGUUGCCACCAUUUAGUUGGGCACUCUAAUGAGACUGCCGGUGACAAACCGGAGGAAGGUGGGGAUGACGUCAAGUCCUCAUGGCCCUUAUGACCAGGGCUUCACACGUCAUACAAUGGUCGGUACAGAGGGUAGCCAAGCCGCGAGGUGGAGCCAAUCUCAGAAAACCGAUCAUAGUCCGGAUUGCACUCUGCAACUCGAGUGCAU